Molecule: long non-coding RNA, 2141 nt
Organism: Mercenaria mercenaria
Lineage: Eukaryota; Metazoa; Mollusca; Bivalvia; Venerida; Veneridae
Exons: 8
Source: RefSeq, a predicted model, not a curated record
ACCCAGGGAAGUUUGAUUUUUAGCCAUGGAAUUCCAUAUCGGACAAUGUAGUAAUACUCUUUCAAAACUAGUCAUAGCAAAAAUCUGAGUUGUGGUGCAGAAAAAUGAACAGUGUUCAAGAAAAUAAAUCGUAUUCCAUAUGACAUACAUGUAUCACUGUAUAACACCGCACGUUCGGUCGAAUUGUUAUCCUAGUGUAGCAGGUAAAGGCUAGUGCAAGUGUAUUCUAAAGCUAACCAAAGUGCGAAUCACGUGACAUAUGUUGGUAGUGAACUCGUGUUCAUUCAGUAGGCAGUCAGUAAAGCACGAAGAAGGAAGCAAAGCGAACCAUCGAGGAAGAACAAAGGCUGACAAGUCUAUGAUUGGUGAUCUACACCUUCUUCAUAACCCAAGUUUUUUCUGAUGUCUGCCAUCAUUCCAGUUGACUCUCACAGUGGUGAACUUUAUAACAGCUGUCAGAAUGGGAACCAGAACAAUUACCUCAGUGAAAGCCAAAACAUUUUCAUUUUUCAACAAACCAAUGCAAAUCAUGUGACACUUGCUGAGAGUGCAUGACAGUUGGUAAAGGACCAGAAAAACGAACACAAAGCAAGGAAGGAAGACUUGAGAGCAGAGACUUUCAUUAUUUCCAUGCAUGGAAACUGAAAUGAUGACGGUCCUUGUGUAGAGAUCUAGACACUUUGUUCACAAGGUGAUGUGAAAUGGUGCGAAGUGUUGUGUAUGUCUUCUGCCUUCACUCUACUAAACCACUACUGCAUGGAUCUUCAGUACCUUCAGUUAGUACCGGAACUGUGAUGACACUGAGGAAAUAUUCUACAAUUUUCACCAUGGUUACGGUUGAAUAGGGAUUCCCACAUAGCAAUUGCUGUACCGUGUAAUGCCAGCAUGUAUGUUUUUCUAAGCAAGCCACAGUGUGUCUAGGUGGAAGCUGUGCAUCUGGACAGGAUGAGAGAGGUUGUAUUCCAAUGGCUGUAAGCAUGAAAUCACCUGGUCUUGUGCAGAAGACAUCUAUGAAUUGAUCAACCAGAUGUAUACCUCUAAUUUAAAGUCUGUACAAGAGAACUAUAUGAGGAUGAUAGCCAAGAAAUACUGCAUUCAGCACGUCAUAUCAAUCCAACUGAAGGACAAAGUAUCCAUUGAUGUAGUUGCAUCUUAGCAAAGAAGUUAACUUGGAUCUGCUUCACAGGGAGUCAUUGAUGAUCAACUAAGUAGUAGGAUACAGUUUUCUGAUCAGAUGAAAUCGCUUUAUCUUAUCUGGCUGGAAUUUAAAGAGCUGAGACUACCAUCAGGAAAAUCUACCAUGUAAUAACACUAACCCAGAACAUUGCUACUGAGUCUACCACACAAUAUGCUGACUAGGAAAUUGCUAUUGAGUCUACCACACAGUAAUGCUGACUAGGAAAUGGCUAAUGAGUCUACCACACAGUAACAUGAACCCAGAGCAUUGCUACUAUGUCUUCCAUAUAGCAACACUAACUCGGAACAUUGCUACUGAGUCUACCACACCGUAACACUGACCAAGAACAUUGCUACUGAGUCUACCACACAGUAACUUGCUACUGAAUCUGCCACACAGUAAUGUGGACAAGGACAUUGCUAUUAUGAGUUUCCAUGCAGUAACACUGACUUGAGUAGUCCACACAGGAAAAACACACAGUAACAUUGACUUAGGAUGUUGCUACCGAGUAUUCCACACUGUAAAACUGACCCCAAAGUUUAGCUUUUCUAUGGAAAAUUCAGACAGAUAACUGAAGUUACCUGUCAAUAGUUGUAAUAAAAUCGUUAUUAUCAGUUUAUGUUAACACUCCUGAUACUGAAGGCUGGACUCUGCAGAACACUGCGGAGAUAAACAUGCAACUCGCUGUGUGACAUUAGUGCAAAAAAAUUUUAAAUGUGACCGUGAUAUAUAGACAUUAAAAUUAUUUUAAGUAACAUUCAAGUAAUGGUCAAAGGUGGUAGUGAAAACUCACUGAAUGUGACAUCAAAGUUUAGAUGACUGAGAAAGAAAGACAGUUAUACCUACUGGUAAAAAUCUAUAAGAUUAGAUAUUAAAAUAAUGUUUAAAAGUGACAGUAGAUACAGUAAAAUGUGAAUAAUAUGUGUUUUGAUUGAUAAUGUCAAAUAAUAAAGGGUAACUCAUU